Molecule: ribosomal RNA, 274 nt
Filed under: uncultured bacterium
Lineage: Bacteria
Description: partial 16S ribosomal RNA
Rfam family: Bacterial small subunit ribosomal RNA
Source: RNAcentral
AUACGGAGGGUGCGAGCGUUAAUCGGAAUUACUGGGCGUAAAGCGUGCGUAGGCGGUUUGCUAAGUCAGAUGUGAAAGCCCCGGGCUUAACCUGGGAACUGCAUUUGAUACUGGCAGACUAGAGUAUGAUAGAGGGGGGUAGAAUUCCUGGUGUAGCGGUGAAAUGCGUAGAUAUCAGGAGGAAUACCAGUGGCGAAGGCGGCCCCCUGGAUCAAUACUGACGCUGAGGUACGAAAGCGUGGGGAGCGAACAGGAUUAGAAACCCCAGUAGUCC